UAAGCUGCCUUAUUCCACCUACUGGUGAUGCGCUGGGGUCAACAAGCCAUCAUCUGCAAGAAAGCUGAUUCCAAAGGAGGAAUCUUCACUCUUUCCCCAUUCUAAGUUCUGUGUCUCCUCUGCCUUUGGGGGUUCACAUCACACCUGCACAGAACUGAGUAGGGCGAAUGACUCCUAUCAGACCCUCAUCCCCAACACCUGCCUGAGAAGCGUGACCCAAGGAAAUAGCGGCUUGUGUGGCUCAGGGCAAAUUCACAGCACCCCAGACGGGUGGUCAGCAGCCAGGGGUCAAACUCCAGGUCUGCCACGAAGUAUCACACAGCUUGGUGAAGCCACACUGCCUGUCUCAGCAGAUGGUAUUCCAUGCCCACGCAGGUCGUAUUUAUUAAACCCUUUCUGCACGUAGGCUGUGCGUAUGGUGAUGGUCAUGCUUCCUUCCCAGUGGCGCGCAGGCCCUAGCAAAUGCCAAAAAAGAAAAAUACGUGAUGGUUUCCUUUCUUGAAGGAGGUGAGCUGGGGACAGUGGGGCCUUGGGGGCAAUGGAGUGUGUAUCUGGUAAGGGGGGAGAAGGAAGGGAAGUAGGAGGAUGACAGAGAAACUCUAGCUACUGAUGCGCCCUUUAGGCAUCCUGAGCUGCUCAGUGGGAUGGUGAGCACUGAGGAGCCUGGGAAGGGCCCUGGUCUCUCCGCUUUCUGUAGAGGUGCUGCCCAAGGCCCAGCAGAGAGGGAGGUGGUCAGAGAAGGGCAGUGGGCAGAUGGUCAAGAGUCCAGGGCAGUGGACCAAGAACUACAAUGUCUGCGACCAUCUCCAACAUUCAAAGCACCUCUUCCCACUUAGACUUCUCUUGGAAAAGCUGGGUUCGACCUCUAAUUCUACUGCUCCUCACAGAGACACAGGAGAAACUCACUGUAGCAGGCUGGAAGCCCCUGUGGUCUGUCUCUGGGCCCAGGAACAAGCUGAUUCACUCCUGCUUACGGAGUCCCCACUUGUAGAUCAAUGGUUGUGGUCCCCAUCCUCAAAGCCAGCCUGGUCUGCUGGGAGAGGCCAGAAUGUCUAUACUGUCAGGUAUAUGUGAUAGAGAGCACAGAGGAAAGGGAGACUGGUGUCCUGGUGGGGAUGGAGAAUGGCUCUAAGGAGACACGUCUCUGAGCUGAACCUUGAAGGAUGUAUAGAACCCUCACAGGUGGAAAGAGGGAAAGGCGUAAGCAGGAAGGACAGCAUAAGCCAAAGGAUGGAGAUAGGCAAGUGCCGGAUCAGUGGUUCUCAACCUGGCUGCAUAUUAAAAUCACCCAUGGAUCUUUUAAAAGGGACUGAUGCCCAAGGCCUGCCACCCGGAGAUACUAAUGUAACCGAUCUGGGGUGGGGUCCCAGCAUUGGUAUUUAUGAAGAACUCCCCAGGGUUGGUGGUUGACAUCCCUGCUACCUGGACCAGCUGCACCACCAUCACUUAGGAGCUUAUUAAUACAGUCUCAGGGCCCCCCGGGUGGCUCAGUCAGUUGAGCAUCUGACUCUUGAUCCAAGCUCAGGUCUUGAUCUCAGUGUCAUGAGUUCAAGCCCCAUACUGGGGCUCCACGCUGGGCAUGGAGCCUACUUAAAACAGCAGCAGCAACAACAACAACGACAACAACCAAUACAAAUACAGAAGAAUCUCAGGGCCCAUCCCAGACCUCCCGAGUCAGAAUCUGCAUUGUCACAAGAUCCCUGGGUGAUCUGUGUGCACGGUAAACUCUGCGAAGGCCUGCUCUAGAGUACUAGAGGAAGGGUGAGGAGUUGCAUUGACAUCAGCAGGCUCAUAUCUUUUUGUUCAAAGGCAUCUGGCUCACUGCUAUGGGGAAGUGGCUGUGCCCAAAAUGAUAUGCCCAAAUGACCCAAAGCAGCAAGAGCCACGUAUCAGAGAACUGCCCUCCGCUGAGCACUGUGCAGAAAGGAGGGUUACUAUAUGGCACAGAUAUAAAAGAGGGAACUAAAAAGUUGGGGGGCAGGGGAACCUGGGUUCUGACAAGACUAGGAUUCUGUGAGGCACUGAGAAGAAAAGGUGAUCUGGGCCAUAGGAAUGUGAACUCAGAGUGCACGUGUGCAUGUAUGUGCAUACACAGGCAUGAAAUUCAAAAUGGUGCUAAAGAUGUUAUCAGACUUUGAACUAUUACCAGAAGCCAAGUGUCCUAAAUUAAAUGCAUCAUUCGUUAAAUGGAAUUUAUGAAAAAUUAACAAGCGCCCAACCAUUAACUUCUGAAAAGCAGCCAUCUUGCUUCUGAGUAUUAUGGGCUAGGAAAUGGCGCCCCUUUGUCUCCUCCCUUCCCAUGCCCCAUUCCCACCCAGCAGGGUUUAAGACGACUUUCCCAGAAUCUAGUCUUCGAUGUCACACACAGACUUUGGAAGUGAUCAGCCCCACUGCUGGAAUGGGACCUAAAAGAGACCCUUCCAUACCAUUCACAGCCCACACAAAGCCAACUCCCGGGAGCAUCUGGUUUUUUUGUGGUGAUGAUUCAACACACAUCUGUUUUUAUUUAUUUUUCUCAACUGAUCUAUGCCCAACAGUUGGCUGGAUAACCCACCAGCCAUUCCUAAUCCCUCUUGCCCACCUCCAGUACUAAGGCUGGAAAAACUAAGUAAUCCUUCGGCAGCUACCCUUGCAGCUAGGAGUGACCACAUGGGACUCACGGAACCAACAAGACAAGAAGCACAGAGACAGAAAGCCAAAACACCAAGGAGGGCCAAGUAGAAAGACUGAAAAAUCUCCUACCCUUGAUAUCACCACUGAACUGCCGGAUACACAACAGGUAACCAUUGCUUCCAUCCUCACUUCUUGUUUUAUGAGAAAAUGUGUUACUGUUAUUUAUGGCCAGAAGCAUACCAGUGGUCUUUCCUAUCCUAAGCUCCUCUCCUUUCAUCAGCUUCCCCUCCUUGUCUAUUUACUAUUUCCAUCUAGUUUUUGCACCACACCAGACUCCAGACUGCUCCAUUUUCCUUAUUAUUUUCCGGGUUACAACCUCUUCCCCCAACUCAUUGUAGAAAACAGCAGGCUCAAAUGCGCAAGCCAACUUUUGAAACACCAAGCUUGAAUGUCCAAUCCUCGAUCCCCACACAGUAGCCUCUUAUCUCUGGAAACUUCAGCAGAGGUACAAAUUUUUACCCAAAGCUGUAAGAACAAGGAGUAAAGUCCAUUAUUAUGUUUCUUUACAUCUUGGGUUAUCAUUAUGAGCCAAUAAGGGUAUAAGGGUAUUUCUCAGGUGUAUUUAUAUUUUAACAAAUCUUGAAUUUCGUAGCAGGUAACAAGACGCAGCUAACUCAUCCAGGCUGACAUGAUCAACAAAGACAGAAGGCCUUGAAUAAGUAACUACUCCUGAGAACAGAUGUGUAAACAGAAACACGAUUUACGAGCUAGCCUAGUUCUCUUCUUAACCUAGACUGAUAUGAUCCAGACACUACCUGGCUGGCCCCGAGUGUCCCUCCAGCACUUAACUGGAUAUAUGAUCAGGCAAAACAUAUUCUACUCUUGCUUAAGUUUAAGAUUUCUUUCUUUCAGCUGACUCCUUAAUAUAUAUGUUCAACAGACAUGUUUUCUGCAACUAUUGACAUGCCUUGGCCUCCUUCAGGUUGUGAAAUGCUCAAAGGCAGGAACUGUGUCCAAAUGGCACUUUGUCCUUCCACACUGCACCCACCCCAGGGCCAAGUCUGAUCCCAUCCCCAAAACAACAGUAACCAAGUCAAAAUUAGAAAUAACAUGGCAGUUGCCAGUCACAACCAAACAGCCAUUUCUUACCUGUACAUGCUACAGAAAUUAGUCAUGUUUUCAGGGCUCCCUCAUUUCAAGAAUGAUUCACAAUUUUUUGUGAGUCAGACACACCACCCCAUUCCUGCUCUAGCUCAUAAGGAGUGUGGAGUGAAAGCAUCAAGGAAUGGAUAAUUACCCCAAGAUUACCCUGGGGGGGCAGAGAGGCAGACCUUGAUAGGGACGGGAGCUCACCAGGACCAUUACAGAAGGUCAAGCAAUCUAACUGCAAUGCUCAAUUUCCCCAAACAGGAAUAUUGCUGUCAUGGUCAACAUCUAUUCAUCAGCACACAGACUGAUCUAUCCGUUCUUCUACAAGUGGCAUUCUUCCCCCCUUUCUUGGCUUUGUUUCUUCUUCACACACCAGGCAUGAAGCUUCAGGAGGGUCACCCUUCCCCAACCAUAUAUAUGAGCAAAAAAGAAAACUCUCUUAUCAGAUCACAUCAAACUAACAUUCUGAAAAUUCUCCUGAAAUGAUCGAUUUCUUUCUGGAACUUUCUCUAACCAGUACCUCACUCCUCCGUAACAUGCCCAGCCGCCUGGUCUUUUAGAGCUCAUCUUUAUGCAAUAAGCACUUGACCAUGGAUGCUGGGAAACUGUUCAGAAGCCAUUCCUCCAAGGCCCUGCCAGUUCUAAGAUGCCGAGAGCCCAUCAGUUGGUGACUGGCUCCCUGAGUGAAAGUGGUAAGCUCAGCCUGGUGGCUUCCCCUCACAUCCUUCCAGAUUUAGGUGUGGGACUUUCAUGACCCCAAAUCAUUUACCAGCAGAGCAGGCGCUGGAAAGAACAAGGGGCUUUAUAGACAGAAAGUUCUGAGUCUGAACCUAGCUUGGUGUGAUUCCAGGCAUACCCGCUUAACACCUACAAGCCUGUUUUCUCAUCUGUAAAUUAACACCUGCCCUGCGGGAUUCUUUCAAGGAUUACAAAUAGUGCAGGAAGUUUCCGGCCCAGAGGGGAUGCUCAGUCCGGUCAAUUACCAAUAAUCAUCCUUAUCACCGUAGUGAGAACACUCCAAAAAUACACCCAUGCACUUAUGUGAUACCUCAGUCAUUGGUACCGCUUGGUCUGUGCGUGCAUCCACUCAGGGUCUUUAUUCUGUGGCAUGUCCGUGGGUCUGCCUUAGAGUCUAAGGCCCCACGGAGGGGCAGGAGUGAGGGCAGGGCAAGGUUUAAACAAUACACAGAGGAAGGCACAUUCCCUUUGGAGACGAGGCGCCUGCUGUUUUUGGGGGAGAUCUGGCUUCCUAUCAAAAUUUGGUGGGUUAGCUAAACUGUCUGAACAACGCCAAAGCCUCAAGUCUAACCCUGACAUGGCUCCCUCUUCCGGAGCCGUGGAGCCCACGCCCCUUCCAAGGUCAGCUGCUUCAUUUACAAAAUGAUCACCAGUCACAAACAGUGAGUUACCAACACCUGUUGGCAGUACCAGAAGAAAACCUAGGAUCUGUUCUUCAGUCCAUCUUGGAUGCAAUGGGGAUAGGAGUUUCAACUUUGUUUGUGGAAGGACAGCAUUUAAAAUGUUCAAUAUCAAUUCCUAUGCUGACAUCCCCCCUCCUGCAACCCCAGGCUUUGGUAAUUAUUAGUGAAGCCAUCUGCUCAGCCUAAUGAAAUGUGCAAUCUCCUGCACAUAUAAUUGGUGAAGUCACUUUAAUUAAUUAAACAAAUUAAUUAAUUGCAAGGAUACUGCAACCAUUUCCUAGGAACUGCAUCCAACUCAUUUAUUCUCCAUGUGUCUACCGGGCUCCUACUGAGGGCAGAGUCCCACACUCGUGCUCUGAGGAGAUAAAGAUGCACCAAGUAGAAACGGAAGCCAAAUGACACGGUUGCUGAUGACUAUCCCUUCCGCUUCAGGCCCAGUUUCUCCAUCUGUUACCCAAAUGAUGUGGUUUCGAGUUGGGAGUGCUGUCCCAAUCCUCUAACACCCUGUUGAAGCCCCUCCUGUGGUACAGUACCCAGGUAUGCCCCUCAUGCCCGGUUACCACACCCCUGCUGGAUUCUCCACUCUGUUACAGCAUCUGGCAGCUUCACCACGCACUGACUCCCACCAGCUCCCUGACGCCGUUUCUGAACGUGCUACUGUUGAGCCACAAUUCCAUCCCAUCUGCCACAGGACUUCCCAGGAGCUUACACUCCAUCUGGAGUCCUGGGAUAUGAGAAACCCCACCAGACGGUAAGAAAAUAUCCUAUAAAUGACCAACUGCCACUUUCCCUGUUAGAAACAACUUGCUCUGAAGGUUUGCUUAAAAGUGAUUUCUUAAGAAUCCUGACAGCAUGUAGCCACAGAAACCGUAUUUAAAACGAUGGAUGGACUCUCAGACUCUCAGGUUCACAAAAGCCUUCUGAACUCACAAUGUACCUGCAGCAUAAAACCAAUAGAGCUAUUUUACCUACA
Leopardus geoffroyi (Geoffroy's cat) is the source of this 6156-nucleotide long non-coding RNA. RefSeq lists it as uncharacterized. The transcript is spliced from 2 exons. NCBI's taxonomy places the organism in Eukaryota, Metazoa, Chordata, Mammalia, Carnivora, Felidae. The record is from RefSeq and is a predicted model, not a curated record.